This 401-nucleotide long non-coding RNA is filed under the name Homo sapiens (human). RNAcentral's name for it is "HSALNT0227426". Lineage: Eukaryota; Metazoa; Chordata; Mammalia; Primates; Hominidae. The record is from RNAcentral.
CAAGACCAGCCUGGCCAACAUGGCAAAACCCUGUCUCUACUGAAAAUACAAAAAUUAGCUGGGCAUGGUGGUGGGCACUUGUAUUCCCAGCUACUUGAGAAGCUUGAACCCGGGAGGCAGAGGUUGCAGUGAGCCGAGAUUGCACCAAUGCACUCCAGCCUGGGAGACAGCCAGACUAUCUCAAAAACAAACAAAACAAAAAAUGUUGUACAACCGUCACCACCAUCUAUUUCCAGAACAUUUUCAUUAUCCCAAACAGAACUAAUAUACCCAUUGAGCAAUAAUUUCCUUCUUUUUCCAGCCCUUGGCAACCACUAACCUGCUUUCUGUCCCUCUGGAUUCACCUGUUCUGGAUAUUUCAUAUAAAUGGAAUCAUACAAUAUGUGACCCUUUGUAUCUGG